Molecule: long non-coding RNA, 887 nt
Organism: Lagenorhynchus albirostris (white-beaked dolphin)
Lineage: Eukaryota; Metazoa; Chordata; Mammalia; Artiodactyla; Delphinidae
Exons: 3
Source: RefSeq, a predicted model, not a curated record
CAGAGGGGAGCCUUGACCUCUCCGCCCCAGGCUGUGGGGCUGUGAGGGCCAGGGGGUCAUGGGGCUGCUCCCCCUGCCUGGGCUGGGAGAGAGGAUGGACAGGGUGAGGUCUGCCUGUGUGUCCCCCGGCUGAGGGCAGAUGGCAUGGGGAGUGGGGAGGCAGAGGUCAGCAGGGAAGAUGCGGGGCCGGCCGGCUCUGAGACCUUGGGUGAGUUGCAGGCCCCCUCCAAACCUCAGUUUCUCCACCUGUGUGGCAAGGAUUACGAGGACCGAGGACUCCUGGGUUCCAGCCAGAACUCGACAGGCGGGCAGCCACCUCACCUCUGCUGGAAGCGCAGCACCAGGCCAGGGGUUCCAGAGAUGGGCUGCCACCACUCCACCCUCCGGGACAAAGCCUGCCACCCCCUGGGAACUGGAUGCCGGGUCUUGUAGCUGCCUCCACCUCACCAGGGCUCCUCGGGCAGACUGCUCUGGGCCUCGGUUCCUCAUCUGUAAAAUGGGAUAAUUAUACCUUCACCGCUGAACUACUGUAUGCCAUUCUCUGACCAUCUCCUGCUGGGAGCAGAGGACUCACAGCCAAAAGACACAGCCUCAGGCAGAAGCUCCAGCGGGGAAGACAGCAAGAUAAACAAGCACCUCUCUCCGCAAUCCAUGUCUGGGCCCAGAGGCCGUCCUCUGGCUUGCAUGCCCCAUCCGAGCUUGCCUCACCAGACACUCGCUUCACACUCGCCUUGUGCCUGGACCAGGACCUUGUCAAGGACAGGGAUGGGGAAGGUGAUCUCACUCACCCUGUAAACCCAGAGACCAACACAGCACCCAGGAAGCGCUACAUAAAUGUUCACAAAAGGAUAAAAGAAUGAAUAAAACACCACAGAGAUUCAAAGAAA